CCUACGGGUGGCAGCAGUGGGGAAUAUUGGGCAAUGGGCGCAAGCCUGACCCAGCAACGCCGCGUGAAGGAAGACGGCUCUCGGGUUGUAAACUUCUUUUGUCCGGGAAGAGUAGAAGACGGUACCUGACGAAUAAGCCACGGCUAACUACUUGCCAGCAGCCCCGGUAAUACGGAGGUGGCCAGCGUUGUCCGGAUUUACUGGGUGUAACGGGCGUGUAGCCGGGUUGACAAGUCAGAUGUGAAAUCCUGCGGCUUAACCGCAGAACUGCAGUUGAAACUGUUGAUCUUGAGUACGGGAGAGGCAGAUGGAAUUCCUGGUGUAGCGGUGAAAUGCGUAGAUAUUAGGAGGAACACCAGUGGCGAAGGCGGUCUGCUGGACCGCAACUGACGGUGAGGCGCGAAAGCGUGGGGAGCAAACAGGAUUAGAUACCCUGGUAGUC
RNAcentral lists this ribosomal RNA (442 nucleotides) under uncultured bacterium. RNAcentral describes it as "partial 16S ribosomal RNA". It matches the Rfam family "Bacterial small subunit ribosomal RNA", at positions 338 to 795 of the family's 1533-position model. The record is from RNAcentral.